AAGUAAUAUAUAUAGUCUCACAUGGGAAUAAAAUAUAGCAAAGUGGUUAGCCAAAAAAGUAUUUCCAUAUAACAAGCCACACACAAUAUUCAAUCAUAAACACAUACUGAUCCAAUCUUUACAAACACUAUAAUCCAUUGAGAAAGAGAGAAGACAAGGAGAGAUGGGUGGUUGUUUUUCAUGCAAAUCAUCUACAAAAUUCAACAAUAUUCGAGUAGUUCACUUCAAUGGUUAUGUACAAGAAUUUGAAAAUCCCGUGUCAGUUAGCCAAGUGACUACAGGCCAAUUACCCUCAAGGAAUCUUGUCUUCACUGCCGCGCAGCUUCUUUCUGCGGAAUCGAAACCAUUGAAGCCUGAUGUUCAGCUAGAGACAGGCCAACUCUACUUCUUGCUUCCAUACUCAAUACUGCAGCCUGAUGUUUCUCCUGUGGACUUUCUUGCUUUGGUAAAGAAGCUCAGUUCAAUAGCAAAGUCUAGCAGGUGCGGUCAGGCUAAGUCUUCAGGAACUAGUUCCUCGUUGGGCCAGAGUAAUCCGAUAUGUAGAGCACAGGUUAGAACGUCAUGGAAGCCGGUUUUGGAUACCAUCAGAGAGAAGUCCUUCAACCGGAGGAGUGAAUCAGAGCUACAGGACAUGGAUUUCGAGACCUCGAAAAGGAGCUUGAGUGUUGGGAAGAUCAUCAACAUCGGAGACUCAAUUGGACGUAUAUGCAUGAGAGUUUACAGAUCCGAAUAAACAAAUACUUGCCACCAUUAGUCUAGCUCCGAUACCACUUGUUAGGGAGGGAGAUAUAUGUUGGGGAAUCACUCGAGACUGCACGCAUAAAGGUUUACAUACAUAACAUUUAACCCAACAAUCGACUCAUCUUAAUUUUCAGGGUCUAUAUUGCUCGGACUCGAGAUCUAUAUCAGAUAUGGGGGCGUAACCGACAUGCAUACCUAUGUUUUCGAAUCUUUCCAUAUAAUUGGAGUCUCCGUGUGUCUAUAGAUCUAUAUCUGAUACGGGUACUCUAUAAGGCAAAAUGAAGGACGUCAAAGCAACAUAGGUUAGGACGACUGGUGAGUAUGGUUUGAAAGAAAGCGGGGUAGGUGAUUAAACGUGGCUUGACCGAAUCCUGAAAAUUCAGCUCUGCCUUGGUGAUAGAGGAUCUAGCUGUAGGAUUAACCAGAACAUUCGUUUCGAAACUAGUCAUCUGAUCCUGUAACUUGAUACAUAGUUCGGGUUGCCUGAAAAUUGUUUCUCUUAUUGGUGGAAGCUGAAACGCAUAGCUGAAUGGCUAGCCAAGGAAACUAGUUGCCAUCAAUGGUCACUAAGAACCAGGUUUUGCACUAAUCUCUGUAGUAUUGUGGACGCGAAAAGGGAAGGACCACGAAUUUUUCAGGAAAAUGCUUGAAAGAAAACAGCUUCUCGUUGCAAAAUACCUAGUAAUCACAUAAUUUAUUUGCUGUUUUGGUUAAGGAUGAUGAAGUACUGUAAUCAAUGAAGCUCAAACCUUGUUUACA
This is an RNA transcript of Populus nigra (black poplar), 1500 nucleotides long. RefSeq lists it as uncharacterized. The transcript has 3 exons. NCBI's taxonomy places the organism in Eukaryota, Viridiplantae, Streptophyta, Magnoliopsida, Malpighiales, Salicaceae. The record is from RefSeq and is a predicted model, not a curated record.